GAUGAACGCUGGCGGCGUGCUUAACACAUGCAAGUCGAACGGAGAGCUCAUGACAGAGGAUUCGUCCAAUGGAUUGUAGUUUCUUAGUGGCGGACGGGUGAGUAACGCGUGAGGAACCUGCCUCGGAGGUGGGAAUAACAGUACCGAAAGGACUGCUAAUACCGCAUAAUGCAGUUGUGUCGCAUGACACUGACUGACCAAAGUAUUUAUCGCUCUGAGAUGGCCUCGCGUCUG
Molecule: ribosomal RNA, 234 nt
Filed under: uncultured bacterium
Lineage: Bacteria
Description: partial 16S ribosomal RNA
Rfam family: Bacterial small subunit ribosomal RNA
Source: RNAcentral